Molecule: ribosomal RNA, 614 nt
Filed under: [Candida] sp. CBS 5303
Lineage: Eukaryota; Fungi; Ascomycota; Saccharomycetes; Saccharomycetales
Description: LSU rRNA
Rfam family: Eukaryotic large subunit ribosomal RNA
Source: RNAcentral
UGCAUAUCAAUAAGCGGAGGAAAAGAAACCAACAGGGAUUGCCUCAGUAACGGCGAGUGAAGCGGCAAAAGCUCAAAUUUGAAAUCUGGUACCUUUGGUGCCCGAGUUGUAAUUUGAAGAUAGUUUUCUGGUAUUGGGCCCUUGUCUAUGUUCCUUGGAACAGGACGUCAUAGAGGGUGAGAAUCCCGUCUGGCGGGGCGCCCUUUGCUAUGUAGAUUUCUAUCGACGAGUCGAGUUGUUUGGGAAUGCAGCUCUAAGUGGGUGGUAAAUUCCAUCUAAAGCUAAAUAUUGGCGAGAGACCGAUAGCGAACAAGUACAGUGAUGGAAAGAUGAAAAGAACUUUGAAAAGAGAGUGAAAAAGUACGUGAAAUUGUUGAAAGGGAAGGAUAUUGGAUCAGACUUGGUGUUGCAUGAUUAUCUUCCCCUCGUGGGUUGUGCACUCGUGCUUCACUGGGCCAGCAUCGGUUCGGACGGCAAGAUAAUGACAUUGGAACGUGGCUCUUUCUUCGGUUAGAGUGUUAUAGCCCUUGUUGAUGUUGCCUGUCUGGACCGAGGACUGCGGCUUCUGCCUAGGAUGCUGGCGUAAUGAUUCAAUAUCGCCCGUCUUGAAACAC